GUCCUUAGUUACCAGCACGUUAUGGUGGGCACUCUAAGGAGACUGCCGGUGACAACCGGAGGAAGGUGGGGAUGACGUCAAGUCAUCAUGGCCCUUACGGCCUGGGCUACACACGUGCUACAAUGGUCGGUACAAAGGGUUGCCAAGCCGCGAGGUGGAGCUAAUCCCAUAAAACCGAAUCGUAGUCCGGAUCGCAGUCUGCAACUCGACUGCGUGAAGUCGGAAUCGCUAGUAAUCGUGAAUCAGAAUGUCACGGUGAAUACGUUCCCGGGCCUU
This 276-nucleotide ribosomal RNA is filed under the name uncultured Pseudomonas sp. Its description in RNAcentral is "partial 16S ribosomal RNA". It matches the Rfam family "Bacterial small subunit ribosomal RNA", at positions 1107 to 1382 of the family's 1533-position model. The record is from RNAcentral. Lineage: Bacteria; Pseudomonadati; Pseudomonadota; Gammaproteobacteria; Pseudomonadales; Pseudomonadaceae.